AUUGAACGCUAGCGGGAUGCUUAACACAUGCAAGUCGAACGGAGUGGCGGACGGGUGAGUAAUAUAUCGGAACGUGCCUAGUAGCGGGGGAUAACUACUCGAAAGAGUGGCUAAUACCGCAUACCAUCGGAUCGGCCGUUAUUGGAUUAGCUAGUGGGUGGGGUAAAGGCUCACCAAGGCGACGAUCCGUAGCUGGUUUGAGAGGACGACCGGCCACACUGGGACUGAGACACGGCCCAGACUCCUACGGGAGGCAGCAGUGGGGAAUAUUGGGCAAUGGGGGAAACCCUGAUCCAGCCAUGCCGCGUGUAUGAAGAAGGCCUUCGGGUUGUAAAGUACGUUUGGUAGAGAAGCGGUAUCUGCAGAAGAAGCACCGGCUAACUACGUGCCAGCAGCCGCGGUAAUAC
This 407-nucleotide ribosomal RNA is filed under the name uncultured bacterium. Its description in RNAcentral is "partial 16S ribosomal RNA". It matches the Rfam family "Bacterial small subunit ribosomal RNA", at positions 30 to 526 of the family's 1533-position model. The record is from RNAcentral.